GAGAAUUAGAUAUAAAUAGAAGAAGUGAUAUCACAAAAAGAGAAGCCAUCCAUUUAAUCUUCAAAUAGUAUUCCAAAUUAUUCUCAAAAUUAAUAACCAUAAAAUAAUAAAACAAUUGUGAAAAAAUAUAUCAAAGAAAAGAUAUAGCUUUAGGAGAAUAAAGUUCAUAGGACUUAAAUAAAUGUCUUGGAAAGGAAGGAGAAAAGAUUAAAGUCUAGGUAGGAGAUUUUAGAUGAACUUUCUUACUUUCAGGCUCCUCUACCCAUUCCUGUAGGGUAGUAAUUUCAGCCCACACAUACCUUUUAAAGUUCGUUCCCUCUUCAUCUUUCCGUUGAAGCUAAGCUAUUUCAGCUUCCCUUAGAGCCAAACACUUUGGUUAUUUAUCACUCAUCCUGAGAAUACAUUUGGUUUCCUCACUGGGUGAUAUAAUAACCAUUCCCUUUACUGAGUCUUCUUUCACUUUCCCACCUUCUUUGGACAAGCUGGAAUUGUACGUUAGUCUUCUGAUAUCAGACUAUUCUAUUUCGUUUCUCUUCUCUUUCUUUUGGAUCGCAUCCUCUCUUUUUCUAUGAUUUUACCUUUUACUAUUUAUGUACUCCUCACAAUUAGACUAAUUAAACACCCCUCACAGUUACUUAAUUCCUCAAACAUGUGCUCAAUCAUACUAACCUUACUAUCAUUGGUCAAACUUAUAGAAUCGUCUGUAAAUUUUCCAAGAAUAAGAGGGGAUCUAACAUCUUCAUCAUCAAAGUUUUACAGUGGAUCAUUUUGUCUCCAAAUGGACAAGCUUGAACAUUCCUUUUUGCACAUGGCUGAAAUAAGAAUCUCUUUGGAGUUGGGAAAUUUAAAUAAGGGAAGUAGGAACUUUGAAAGAUUCAAGGACAAAUAAGAUUUGAUGAGAGAAGUUUUCAAAGUGAGAGAGGAAACUAAUCUAUUUUUG
This 940-nucleotide long non-coding RNA is filed under the name Capsicum annuum. Its description in RNAcentral is "long non-coding RNA (CANN_LNC017952)". Lineage: Eukaryota; Viridiplantae; Streptophyta; Magnoliopsida; Solanales; Solanaceae. The record is from RNAcentral.